UGAUCUGAGUUGGCUUGUAUUGUGGCAGAAAUGGAGAAAAUGGGAUGAGAAAGAGUCCGAGGGGUGUAGCCCCAGGUUUUUACUGCUUGUGUGUUGUGGCUGCCCUGACUCCGUUUGCGGGGGUGGGGGGUGGGGGGGGGAAGGCAUGCCACCCCUGGUGUCUCCUGUCCCCACCACCGGGGAUCGCACUGAUGCCGCGAGCCGUUGACCGACUUCCAGCACAAGCAUGGCGCCUUCCAGUCAGAGGUUUUUGCCUUAGGAUGUUCUGCGACGGGCUUUUGGAAGCCAGGCCCGGCGGUUGUCACUCAUGGGCGACGUAAGCACCUCCUCUCAGGCCCCUUACCGUCUGGUGGAGGAGAUUUGAGUUAGCAGGACGCAGUGAUCGGUAAAUGCGGGAGACUUCAGGUGGCUCCUAGGAAAACAGCCUCAGAGCAGAGAGGAGCAGAGGACGCCGGCUCUUCAGGGAGAGAUGGAGGCCGGGGGAGCCGAGGGACCCGCUGGGAGCCCGGCGGCAGCACAGAGCAGAGUCAGGACGAGCCCCCAGUGCUGGGCCUGUCCUGCCACACCGCACUGCCUCCCGGGGACCCCUCAGAGACCCCCGUUCAGGGUGACCGCUGAGGACAGCAGGGCAGACAGGCAACGGCACCGGGUCUGGAGGGACUUUAGCAGAAGGAAACGGGGAUGCCCGGGGUCGGUCGUCACAGAGGAGAUGACGCCGUCUGAGCACAUCGAAGCCUUGCGGGCGGCGAGUAACUCAAGAAACUGGGAAAGCGGGCCAGGGAGGGCAUCUUUAACAACCAGCGCGUGCGCGCGCCCCACCUCUGUCUCUUGGCCACGUGCCACCGAGUCUCAUCCACGGGUGGAAUUUGUCUCAGAGAAGAUAAAAAUUGUGUUUGAAGAUGACUUGUGAUGCACGAAGUGGUUUUGUCUCACACGUAAAUACAGAUUUAAGGUGAUAUUAACUGAAGACUCUGAGUGGAGAAGAUUGGGUCUGCAGGCUGAGAUGGAGAUCUCCUGGGCAGGAGUGGGAGACCUGAGUUCUUGUCCUGAUCCUGGCGGGAACCAGUCCCCUCUGUUCCACCAAGCGAGAGCCUCAAGUCCUGCUCUGCCCACGCGGGAGGAUGUUCUGUCAGAGGAGCGCAAGUUUGCACAAGAGUUUUGAAAACCCCAAAGCACUAGACAGAUAUAAGAGAUUUCCCCUUUGGUUUUCUUUUCUUUUGUCUCUGACGAAAAUUCAGCAUCAUCACUUGUUAAUUGGCCAGUAAGAUCACAAUCAGUAAGAUGCACAAUCCUACUUUUCUUUCCCAGAAGAUUAAUACGCAGCUGUAGAUUUCAGGAUCAUUUAAAGCGUUCUUUGAAAAUCUGACCCUUCAUAACAGACAGACGCUCCCAGAAAACAAUAACAAUGAAAUAAUAACAAUAAUGACAACAAUAAAUGCUAAAAAUGGAAACGGGCACCUUACAAUGACAGCUUAACUGUUGGUGAAGAAAGGAAGACUUUCUUAGAAAGACAUUUCUUCCCGUUCAAAAUGUAGACCUGAGCGUUUAACUAGGAAGGAA
Non-coding RNA from Equus caballus (horse), 1560 nucleotides. Lineage: Eukaryota; Metazoa; Chordata; Mammalia; Perissodactyla; Equidae. The record is from RefSeq and is a predicted model, not a curated record.